GUAUGAGUUCCUUGGAACACAACGUCACAGAGGGUGAGAAUCCCGUUCGUGGCACGCCUCCACAUCCGUGGGGAUACCCUUUGGAUGAGUCGGAGUUGUUUGGGAAAUGCAGGUUAAAAAGGGAUGUUAAAUUCCUUCUAAAGUUAAAUAUGGGCGGGAGCCGAUUAGCCACCAAGUGCCGUGAGGGAAAGAGGAAAACCACUUGGGAAAGGGAGUUAAAAGUACGUGAAAUUGUUGAAAGGGAAACGAUUGAAGUCAGACGUGCGCGGUCGUGAUCACCCGGGCAUUCCAGCAUCGCACUUGCAAGUGGGAUAAACGGUCUAGAAAGGUAGCAGUCUCCAAAGGGUUAUAGUAUCUUACUCCUUUCGGAGAGCGAGAUCGAGGGAGGCAGCGCGCCGAAAGCCAAGGGGUUGGCCCGUUUUUCGCUUAGGAUGCUGGUGAAAUGGCUGUAAACGACCCGUCUUGAAACACGGACCAAGGAGUCUAACAUGUAUGCGAGUGUUUGGGUGUCAAACCCAUGCGCGUAAUGAAAGUGAACGGAGGUGGGAUCCUUUAAGGGAGCACCAUCGACCGAUCCAGAUGUUUUCGGAUGGAUUUGAGUAAGAGCAUAUAUGUUGGGACCCGAAAGAUGGUGAACUAUGCCUGAAUAGGGUGAAGCCAGAGGAAACUCUGGUGGAGGCUCGCAGCGGUUCUGACGUGCAAAUCGAUCGUCAAAUUUGGGUAUA
This 725-nucleotide ribosomal RNA is filed under the name Sarcogyne sp. Its description in RNAcentral is "partial large subunit ribosomal RNA". It matches the Rfam family "Eukaryotic large subunit ribosomal RNA", at positions 179 to 919 of the family's 3401-position model. Lineage: Eukaryota; Fungi; Ascomycota; Lecanoromycetes; Acarosporales; Acarosporaceae. The record is from RNAcentral.